Molecule: non-coding RNA, 1601 nt
Organism: Tetranychus urticae (two-spotted spider mite)
Lineage: Eukaryota; Metazoa; Arthropoda; Arachnida; Trombidiformes; Tetranychidae
Source: RefSeq, a predicted model, not a curated record
GGGUUUUCUCCGGUCAAAGAAAGGAUAAAAAGUUACGCCAUCUAGAUUAACAAAAAUCUUUCAUUAAACAGUAGUAAAUUAAAUUCCCGCUUAAAUUCAUCGUCAUUUUUUGUCCAGACGCCAUCUUUCAACAGUGAAACAAGUGUAAAUCUUUUCAGAUUUAGUUAAUGCCAUUAUAAUUAAAUUGUAAGAUACCUGUAAUAUAGAUGAAUCACCUUGAACACUGAUUACCUAACUUAGUUAGUUGACUGCCUUUGGACCAUUUCAGAAAUAAAUCAUCCAUAAUGACGAUAAAUUUAAUAUAAUAGCUCGGAUUCAACGUUGAUGCGAGAUUUGCUAGAAAAGAUACUGUUGCAUUUUGUUGGUUGGAAAGGGUUGGUUUAAAACUUGGUAACAAACGCUGGGGAUAGAAAGUGCUUCAUUUACAUUUGGCUUUCUCGUUGUAUUCAUCAAUCAAUCACAGUAUGGUUAUUAUGAUACCAGAUUUGAAACAAUCUUUAACAAAGAUUAAAGCAUAAGAUACAGCAAUUGAGAGCUACCCACUAAGCCAAUUGGACAAUGGUUGAGUCGCGUUACAAAAGUCAAAUGAAUCUUGAGGAAAACAUUGAUAUCAGAUUCAAUGGCAGAGAGAAAUAACCAUUAAAUGCUGUUUAAGAUGAUUUAAGGAAUAGCAAUAACAAAUGUUUAAUGCCAAAAGAUAAUCAAACAAACAGAAGUGGAUUGAAGCCAAUGUGAAAACCGUUUUGUGAGAAAGUUAAAAGAGCGUCAUCAGGAGACAUUUUUUGCAACAAACUGAUUCCAAUUUAUUUUCCUUCAAGACCUUGUCUAUGUUAUUUCUCUGUCUUGCAUUAUCCAUUAUUUACGUUAUUCAUUUUAUUUUGCUUAACCCUAUCCUCCAUAAUCAUCAUCUUCACCUUCUCAUUUUUGCAAGAGUCUCUAUUUUACCUACAAAAACAAGAAAACAUUCAACUCCUACUGCAAGAUCAUCAUCAAAACCAUAAGCGUCUUGGCUUCUCAACCAUCAACCAAUUCAAUCUCGAGCUCUUACCUGAGCCAUGUUUAAAAUUAAAUCUCAAUUGCUAGUGAUUCUUUGAUUGGACAUUGCAAUACUUCAUCAUUUCGUUCUUUCGUUCUGUUUGCCACUGUCAUAUUGCAACAAACCAUCAAUUAUAAACCAUGAGAUCAUUAUUUUUACACCUACUUUGCCUGCUUUUUGCAUCCUUUUUCAAGCCAGGUGACUUUACUGGCUGUCGAUUUAUGGUUGACAAUUGCGAUGAAGAUUGUCACGAUAUCUGCAAAGCAACCUGUUCCAAAAAUUUUGGUGUCUGUGCCGAAGAGGAAAGGAUAAGUUACUGUUAUUGUUUUGAAACAAAACCAAAGGAAAAAUGGAUACACGAUUGGAAAUCUGAUGAGGAACCAUCCUCUCAAUCUUUAUCAUCUCAUGAAGAUCAUCACAAUUCUCGUUCUAAAAGUGCUUCUGAUUUAUGACAGCUAUCAAAUUUAAUUUCAGAUUUUUCUCUGUUAUUGUUGUUUAUCUCUGUGAGUCCUGUUAAUAACCUGUUCAAAAACUAUUGAGUAAAUUUACAUUUAAUUUUUGUUUA